UGGGAUAGGUGGUGUGUCUCAGACCGGU
Molecule: non-coding RNA, 28 nt
Filed under: Rattus norvegicus (Norway rat)
Lineage: Eukaryota; Metazoa; Chordata; Mammalia; Rodentia; Muridae
Source: RNAcentral